GAUGAACGCUGGCGGCGUGCUUAACACAUGCAAGUCGAGCGAAGCACUUAAGUUUGAUUCUUCGGAUGAAGACUUUUGUGACUGAGCGGCGGACGGGUGAGUAACGCGUGGGUAACCUGCCUCAUACAGGGGGAUAACAGUUAGAAAUGACUGCUAAUACCGCAUAAGACCACGGUACCGCAUGGUACAGUGGUAAAAACUCCGGUGGUAUGAGAUGGACCCGCGUCUGAUUAGGUAGUUGGUGGGGUAACGGCCUACCAAGCCGACGAUCAGUAGCCGACCUGAGAGGGUGACCGGCCACAUUGGGACUGAGACAUGGCCCAGACUCCUACGGGAGGCAGCAGUGGGGAAUAUUGCACAAUGGAGGAAACUCUGAUGCAGCGACGCCGCGUGAAGGAUGAAGUAUUUCGGUAUGUAAACUUCUAUCAGCAGGGAAGAAAAUGACGGUAC
This 450-nucleotide ribosomal RNA is filed under the name uncultured bacterium. RNAcentral's name for it is "bacterial SSU rRNA". It matches the Rfam family "Bacterial small subunit ribosomal RNA", at positions 28 to 478 of the family's 1533-position model. The record is from RNAcentral.